This 867-nucleotide ribosomal RNA is filed under the name Triticum aestivum (bread wheat). Its description in RNAcentral is "partial small subunit ribosomal RNA". The record is from RNAcentral. Lineage: Eukaryota; Viridiplantae; Streptophyta; Magnoliopsida; Poales; Poaceae.
AUGGAGGUAGAUAGUCGAUGUCCUAUAUGCUUUAGAUUUGAUGAAGUGGGGUGACAUUGCUUUUUUAUGUGCAAGAAAGUCAAGGAGGUGUGGAGGAGUUUAAACCUGGAGCAUGUUAGGUUGCAUCUGGCUGGCUGUACUAGUGCUUUAAGCACCCUAGAACAAAUUCUUAAUCUUGCAGAGGACGAUAAAAUAAAAACAUGUUUGCUUCUUUGGCGUUGGUGGCAUGUAUGCAAUAAGGCAAACUCGGGAGAAACCUCUUUCUCGCCUGAGGAUGUUUGCUCUUCUAUUGAGUAUCAUGUAUCAAAUGUAAUGAAGAUCAAAAAGACUACUAAAGGGCAUAAGCAGAAGCUGGACCAGAAAUGGUCUCGACCGCUAAAUGGUUUCCUCAAGAUUAAUACAGAUGCAUCCUUUCACAGGGACGCCAACUCCGGCGGCUGGGGAUUCAUCAUCAGAGAUGACCAAGGCAGGGCGAUGGCUGUAGGGGCGGGCAAUCUGGCGAAUAUCUCAGAUGCUCUACACGCUGAAGCUUUGGCUUUGUUAUAUGCUAUAAAAAUGUCUAUUCAGAUGGGAUGCGACAAGGUUUUGUUUGAAACUGAUUCCACGCAGCUGAUGAGGGCAGUGAAAUCUAAAGAUUAUGAUCUAGCGAAUUUAGGAGCUAUUUUUAGAAGCAUCAAAUCCCAACUGUAUGUGGGGUUUUCUGUUGGUAGUGUUGUGUCGUGCCCUCGGGCUUGUAACAUGGUAGCACAUAUUUUAGCUGCGUAUGGAGCAAAUCUGGGAGUUGAUGUGUGUGAGACCUGGCUGGGACAACUCCCAGAUUUUGUAUUGAACUAUGUAAAGGGCGAUUUACCUAGUACUAUAAUAUAG